Molecule: ribosomal RNA, 156 nt
Filed under: Triticum aestivum (bread wheat)
Lineage: Eukaryota; Viridiplantae; Streptophyta; Magnoliopsida; Poales; Poaceae
Description: partial small subunit ribosomal RNA
Source: RNAcentral
AUGCGGACGGGGGAGAUAGAGCUGCUCCUCAAGUCUGGGGCGCGUCGACGGGAGGUCGCCUUCAACAUGGUCGACUGCGAUUUCAAGGUCUUCGAGGGAAAAUGGUCUGUCCAGGAGCAUGGCAAAUCUCUUUUGCACGGGACCAUGGCAAAUUAA